RNAcentral lists this long non-coding RNA (311 nucleotides) under Lathyrus oleraceus (garden pea). RNAcentral describes it as "Pisum sativum (pea) long non-coding RNA (PSAT_LNC038991)". Lineage: Eukaryota; Viridiplantae; Streptophyta; Magnoliopsida; Fabales; Fabaceae. The record is from RNAcentral.
CUCUAAGUGUUAUCAAUUGGGACCAAUAGAGUAACCAGUGAACUCGGAAGAGAUUAAUUAUUAAAUAAAAGAGAUAGACCAAUAUUAAUAAAUACAAGAGAGGACAUUGUUGAUAACAUUAAUAAUUGGUCAAUUGAUGCUGGAAGAUAAAAUAUCAAUUGAGAUAUUUUUAUUACUACUUGAUAUCAUAUAUAUUAUAUAUGUAUUUUGUGUGGUGGGGAUUGAAAGAAGAAGAAAAGGAUAAGAAGAAGUAGGUAAGAGAGAGUGAGAGAUAUCAGAAAGGAAAAAGAAAAGAAAGAGAAAAAAGAAGA